GCACUCUUGAGACUUAGCGGCGGACGGGUGAGUAACACGUAGGCAACCUGCCCUUCAGACUGGGAUAACUACCGGAAACGGUAGCUAAUACCGGAUAAUCGUUUUUCUCUCCUGGGAGAAGCGGGAAAGACGGAGCAAUCUGUCACUGAAGGAUGGGCCUGCGGCGCAUUAGCUAGUUGGUGGGGUAACGGCUCACCAAGGCGACGAUGCGUAGCCGACCUGAGAGGGUGAUCGGCCACACUGGGACUGAGACACGGCCCAGACUCCUACGGGAGGCAGCAGUAGGGAAUCUUCCGCAAUGGACGAAAGUCUGACGGAGCAACGCCGCGUGAGUGAUGAAGGUUUUCGGAUCGUAAAGCUCUGUUGCCAGGGAAGAACGUCUUCUAGAGUAACUGCUAGGAGAGUGACGGUACCUGAGAAGAAAGCCCCGGCUAACUACGUGCCAGCAGCCGCGGUAAUACGUAGGGGGCAAGCGUUGUCCGGAAUUAUUGGGCGUAAAGCGCGCGCAGGCGGUCAUUUAAGUCUGGUGUUUAAUCCCGAAGCUCAACUUCGGGUCGCAUCGGAAACUGGGUGACUUGAGUGCAGAAGAGGAGAGUGGAAUUCCACGUGUAGCGGUGAAAUGCGUAAAGAUGUGGAGGAACACCAGUGGCGAAGGCGACUCUCUGGGCUGUAACUGACGCUGAGGCGCGAAAGC
This 694-nucleotide ribosomal RNA is filed under the name Paenibacillus polymyxa. RNAcentral describes it as "bacterial SSU rRNA". It matches the Rfam family "Bacterial small subunit ribosomal RNA", at positions 79 to 760 of the family's 1533-position model. The record is from RNAcentral. Lineage: Bacteria; Bacillati; Bacillota; Bacilli; Caryophanales; Paenibacillaceae.